GAUGAACGCUGGCGGCGUGCCUAACACAUGCAAGUCGAGCGAAAAGAUCAGGAGUUUGCUCCCCUGACGUCAGCGGCGGACGGGUGAGUAACACGUGGAUAACCUACCUAUACGAAUGGGAUAAUAUCGGGAAACCGGAGCUAAUACCGGAUAAUAUAUUGCACUGCAUGGUUCACUCGUGAAAGACGGUUUUGCUGUCACUUAUAGACGGAUCCGCGCCGCAUUAGCUAGUUGGUAAGGUAACGGCUUACCAAGGCUACGAUGCGUAGCCGACCCGAAAGAGUGAACGGCCACACUGGAACUGAGGAACAGUCGAGACACCGGCAGGGGGCAACAGUAGGGAAUCUUCCGCGAUGGACGAGAGCCGGACAGAGCAACGCCGCGGAAAUGAUGAAGGUCUUCGGAUCGUAGAGCUCUGUAGGUAGGAGGGAAGAAAAGUGUAAUUAACUGGGCACGUCUUGACGGUACCUGGACAAAAAGCCACGGCUAACUACGUG
Molecule: ribosomal RNA, 497 nt
Filed under: uncultured bacterium
Lineage: Bacteria
Description: partial 16S ribosomal RNA
Rfam family: Bacterial small subunit ribosomal RNA
Source: RNAcentral